AACGAACGCUGGCGGCGUGGCUAAGGCAUGCAAGUCGAACGGACCCGCUUUCGGGCGGGUUAGUGGCGCACGGGUGAGGAAUACAUGGAUAACGUACCCCGGACACAGGGAUAGCGGCGGGCCGCAAGGUCCUUUGCGAAAGUGCCGGUAAUACCUGAUGAUCCCAUCGCCCCGCAUGAGGUGAUGGGCAAAGCUCCGACGGUCUGGGAUCGGUUCAUGUCCUAUCAGCAGUUGGUGAGGUAACGGCCCACCAAGGCUGUGACGGGUAUCGGGCGUGAGAGCGUGGCCCGACAUAUCGGAGCUGAGACACUGUCCGGACACCUACGGGUGGCUGCAGCAACGAAUAUUCCGCAAUGGACGAAAGUCUGACGGAGCGACGCCGCGUGCAGGAAGAAGUCCCUC
Molecule: ribosomal RNA, 402 nt
Filed under: uncultured bacterium
Lineage: Bacteria
Description: bacterial SSU rRNA
Rfam family: Bacterial small subunit ribosomal RNA
Source: RNAcentral